Molecule: long non-coding RNA, 467 nt
Filed under: Physcomitrium patens
Lineage: Eukaryota; Viridiplantae; Streptophyta; Bryopsida; Funariales; Funariaceae
Description: long non-coding RNA (PPAT_LNC002569)
Source: RNAcentral
UUAGGAUUUUGUUAGAAUUUGGUUAGGAUUUGACUAGAAUUUAGUUAAAGUUUGUUUAGGAUUUGAUAGGAUUUGAUUAGGAUUUGUUUAGGAUUUAUUUAAGAUUUGAUUAGGAUUUAUUUAAGAUUUAUUUCGGAUUUGUCUAGGAUUUAUUUAGGAUUUAUUUAGGAUUUGACUAGGAUUUGAUUAGAAUUUGAUUAGGUUUUGAUUAUGGUUUAUUUAGGUUUUGUUUAGGAUUUGAUUAGGUUUUAUUUAGGAUUUGAUUAGGAUUUGAUUAGAAUUUUUUUAGGAUUUUAUUAGGAUUUGAUUAGGAUUUAUUAGAGUUUGACUAAGAUUUAUUUAGGAUUUGAUUGGAGUUUGACUAGGCUUUAAUUAAGGUUUUUAUUUUAAUACUUUAUUAAGAUUUUUAUUUUAGUAUAGUUUUGAAUUUCUAUGUUAUUUCUUUAUGAUUUCUUUAAAGGAUCUUU